UGGGGUAUUGAGUAUGGGUGGAUUAUAUUUCUGGUAUAUAUCUAUUUUGGUGGGGUUUGUGGCAGUCAUGUUUUGGUAUGAAAUUGGUAUAGUGUGGGUUGAAUAUUUGUUUGGUUUAGUGUUUAGGGUAUUUUUAUCUUGAUAUACUUUGGCUAAUGACACAACUUUCACAAUUGAGAUUGAUGUAUGAAUCAUGACUUCCUUACGUAUGUCUGGUUGCAACCUACUGAUAAAACAAUCUACAAGUGCAUCAUUACUAAUUCCAUAGACUCUAUUAGCUAAUGAUGAG
Molecule: long non-coding RNA, 289 nt
Filed under: Lupinus angustifolius (narrow-leaved blue lupine)
Lineage: Eukaryota; Viridiplantae; Streptophyta; Magnoliopsida; Fabales; Fabaceae
Description: long non-coding RNA (LANG_LNC003364)
Source: RNAcentral